RNAcentral lists this ribosomal RNA (560 nucleotides) under Naganishia globosa. RNAcentral's name for it is "eukaryotic LSU rRNA". It matches the Rfam family "Eukaryotic large subunit ribosomal RNA", at positions 104 to 655 of the family's 3401-position model. Lineage: Eukaryota; Fungi; Basidiomycota; Tremellomycetes; Filobasidiales; Filobasidiaceae. RNAcentral also lists the same sequence under 1 other name. The record is from RNAcentral.
GAGCUCAAAUUUGAAAUCUGGUAGCCUUCGGUUGCCCGAGUUGUAAUCUAGAGAAGUGUUUUCCGCGUUGGCCCAUGUACAAGUCCCUUGGAACAGGGCGUCAUAGAGGGUGAGAAUCCCGUCCUUGACAUGGACCCCCAAUGCUUUGUGAUACACUUUCAACGAGUCGAGUUGUUUGGGAAUGCAGCUCAAAAUGGGUGGUGAAUUCCAUCUAAAGCUAAAUAUUGGCGAGAGACCGAUAGCGAACAAGUACCGUGAGGGAAAGAUGAAAAGCACUUUGGAAAGAGAGUUAAACAGUACGUGAAAUUGUUGAAAGGGAAACGAUUGAAGUCAGUCAUGCUCUUUGGAUUAAGCCGUUCUGCGGUGUAUUUCAUUGAGCGGGGUCAACAUCAGUUUUGAUCGCUGGAAAAGGGCAGGAGGAAGGUAGCACUCUCGGGUGAACUUAUAGCCUCUUGUCGUAUACAGUGAUUGGGACUGAGGAACGCAGCAUGCCUUUUGGCCGGGAUUCGUCCACGUACAUGCUUAGGAUGUUGACAUAAUGGCUUUAAACGACCCGUCUU